This 253-nucleotide ribosomal RNA is filed under the name uncultured bacterium. RNAcentral's name for it is "partial 16S ribosomal RNA". It matches the Rfam family "Bacterial small subunit ribosomal RNA", at positions 524 to 776 of the family's 1533-position model. The record is from RNAcentral.
UACGUAGGGUGCAGGCGUUAAUCGGAAUUACUGGGCGUAAAGCGUGCGCAGGCGGUUUGCUAAGACAGGUGUGAAAUCCCCGGGCUUAACCUGGGAACUGCGCUUGUAACUAGCAGGCUAGAGUGUGGCAGAGGGGGGUGGAAUUCCAGGUGUAGCAGUGAAAUGCGUAGAUAUGUGGAGGAACACCGAUGGCGAAGGCAGCCCCCUGGGUCAAGAUUGACGCUCAUGCACGAAAGCGUGGGGAGCAAACAGG